GACGAACGCUGGCGGCGUGCUUAACGCAUGCAAGUCGAACGAUGAAGCUGAAGCUUUUGUUUUGGUGGAUUAGUGGCGAACGGGUGAGUAAUACGUGAGUAACCUGCCCUUGUCUUUGGGAUAAGCCUGGGAAACUGGGUCUAAUACCGGAUAUUCUGCUUCUGCCGCAUGGUGGGGGUUGGAAAGAUUUUUUUGGAUGGGGAGUGGGCUCACGGCCUAUCAGCUUGUUGGUGGGGUGAUGGCCUACCAAGGCGUCGACGGGUAGGGGUUCUGAGAGGAAGGUCCCCCACAUUGGUACUGAGACACGGACCAA
RNAcentral lists this ribosomal RNA (313 nucleotides) under uncultured bacterium. RNAcentral describes it as "bacterial SSU rRNA". It matches the Rfam family "Bacterial small subunit ribosomal RNA", at positions 28 to 334 of the family's 1533-position model. The record is from RNAcentral.